RNAcentral lists this ribosomal RNA (218 nucleotides) under uncultured prokaryote. RNAcentral describes it as "partial 16S ribosomal RNA". It matches the Rfam family "Bacterial small subunit ribosomal RNA", at positions 525 to 742 of the family's 1533-position model. The record is from RNAcentral.
ACGGAGGGCGCAAGCGUUGUUCGGAAUUACUGGGCGUAAAGCGCGGGCAGGUGGCCUGUUAAGUCUGCGGUGAAAUCCCGGGGCUCAACUCCGGAUAUGCCGCGGAUACUGGCGGGCUAGAGACCGGUAGAGGCAAGUGGAAUUCCAGGUGUAGCGGUGGAAUGCGUAGAUAUCUGGAAGAACACCGGUGGCGAAGGCGGCUUGCAGGGCCGGUUCUG